Paramuricea clavata is the source of this 981-nucleotide non-coding RNA. The record is from the annotation of a GenBank genome assembly. NCBI's taxonomy places the organism in Eukaryota, Metazoa, Cnidaria, Anthozoa, Malacalcyonacea, Plexauridae.
GGGAAAAUAGAUGAAACCGUUAAAAUCAAUUUACUUAAUCUUAUUUGGCACUACGUGCAUAUUGAGAACGUAUGAUUUUUAUUCAAUCUUUGCGUUACUAGACUGUUCAAAAGAACGUGUUCAUUUAAUUAAUUUAGGGCAUAAAAUCUAUGAAAUCUUUCUUUGUGGGACAAACCGGUAAGUACCUAUACCUACAAUAUGAACCUAUUUUGAGAUUGGUUUUCUGAACCAAAAGUGUUUCAGUGCAUUAUUUAUGGCUUGAUUUCUGGAGCCGCGGUUGUUCAAAGCUGGGUUAGCUCAACCCUAGGUUAACCUAAAAUUCAAAGCAAACUUCCCAAGAGCUUGUUUAUAAAUUUGGAAAUAUUUCUUCAGAGAUGUUGUCUGAAUCAGGAGUUUUCUUGUCUGAAGUUGUGAAAUAAACAGACGUGCAGAAAUAUACAUAAACUAAAACUGCAGGUUAAAUUUUAACAAAGGGUUAGCGCUAACCCUUGCAGCUUUGAACAACUGCCCCCUGAAGAUAAUCGUCUCUUAUUCAUGCUCAACCAAUCACAAAGCCUGUUCAUAUCUAGCCUAUAUAGGUACAAACCAACCCACACAAACAGCUUUUUAAUCUGAGUUUUUCCAACAAUGCAUCACGAUUGCAGAUGGCGUCGUUAUUGAUGAAAGGGUUUAAUAAAGCAAAAAAUAAAAAGUAGUAUAUGUCAAAUAUUAACGUAAAUUAUAUUUUUCUAUGCACCGCUAGAAUAAUAACACUAAUAACAAUUAAAAGAAACAAUAUUGAUAUUGUAAUAAUAAAUUGAUAGCACAUAUGGCAUAAUAUAGACCAUUAGAUAUCCUAAGAAGGGGGGAGAGGAAAUAUGUCGAACAGGAUCAAAUUUAUUUAUAUAUAUAUAUAUAUAUGUUCGCUACUGGGGAGUUAGGCAAGUUAAAACAGCACCAGAUAAAACAUUAAGAAUUAAUACUUUUUGUACUUGAGCAAAA